Molecule: ribosomal RNA, 447 nt
Filed under: uncultured bacterium
Lineage: Bacteria
Description: bacterial SSU rRNA
Rfam family: Bacterial small subunit ribosomal RNA
Source: RNAcentral
UCGGGAAUUUUGGGCAAUGGGCGAAAGCCUGACCCAGCAACGCCGCGUGAAGGAUGAAGUAUUUCGGUAUGUAAACUUCGUAAGAAUAGGAAGAAUAAAUGACGGUACUAUUUGUAAGGUCCGGCUAACUACGUGCCAGCAGCCGCGGUAAUACGUAGGGACCAAGCGUUGUUCGGAUUUACUGGGCGUAAAGGGCGCGUAGGCGGCGUGGUAAGUCAUCUGUGAAAUCUCCGAGCUUAACUCGGAACGGUCAGAUGAUACUGCUGUGCUAGAGUACAGAAGGGGCAAUCGGAAUUCUUGGUGUAGCGGUGAAAUGCGUAGAUAUCAAGAGGAACACCUGAGGUGAAGACGGGUUGCUGGGCUGAUACUGACGCUGAGGCGCGAAAGCUAGGGUAGCAAACGGGAUUAGAUACCCUCGUAGUCCCUGAGCGGGCUGGCAAGGCGCAU